Molecule: non-coding RNA, 72 nt
Organism: Xylaria arbuscula
Lineage: Eukaryota; Fungi; Ascomycota; Sordariomycetes; Xylariales; Xylariaceae
Source: the annotation of a GenBank genome assembly
GGUUUCCUAGUAUAACGGCGAUCACAGCGGAUUCUGAUUCCGCUAAUCUGUGUUCGAUUCCUAGGGAGGCCU